This 3753-nucleotide long non-coding RNA is filed under the name Sus scrofa (pig). Its description in RNAcentral is "lncRNA (ENSSSCG00065001522.1)". Lineage: Eukaryota; Metazoa; Chordata; Mammalia; Artiodactyla; Suidae. The record is from RNAcentral.
ACUCUGGCUUACUUGGGCAUGUUAAAAGUGAAUUCAGGAGCUGCAGUGCUUGAGAACUAUGGGUGAUUCAUAAACCAUCUGCUUACAAUAUAUACCAAAAUUGCAUCUAACUAAACAAUAGCACACAAGGACACAAAAUCUCAUGCACUGGAAUUUAAAGAUUUAUGAGACAUUUUCAAGUACCACCAGUUAAUGGAUCUGAGGUCUGUGUGACUUAAUUCUUCAGCAAGUACUUUCGCCAAGAGGAAACUAAAAAGUGAGCUGGGCAAAGGACAAAUAUGAAUGAAUGCCAACUAUGUCUCUGCAAAUAUUUAUUGUAAGAAACGAAAACUGCUUUUCAAGUUUGGAAAACUUCUGUGUAGUCCUCUCAGGUUUGGUUUUGUUAGUCUCAUUUAUUUUUUGCCAGAGGCUUUUGCUAACGCUAGUUUUGACACAACUAAAGGCUAAAACUAAAACAUUUACUUCUAAAGAAUUUUCUUCAAAAGGAACCACUUCUAAAAUCAUCAGAUGGUUGUGCUAAAGAGCAGGUGAACUUGAGGGUCUCAGCGCUUGCCUCAGAGAUGAGUGCCUCAGGCACUGGCAAUGGAGUUACAACCAGGUGCUCAGAGUGGGAGAUGCUUCCAUAAGAGCACUUGUUUCAUUGUUCUUCUAUGCUGCAUAAUCCCAUUCACUGCUUUUUAUUUGCUCUCAAUUUGAAACUUGGCAUCUUCCUCCAUUUUAGAAUGACACACACACACACACACACACACACACACACACUCUAACAUUUCAAACAAAGAAAUGUUAAACAACUACAAUUCAAGUUCAGGCAGCAGCACCUCUACACUCCGCAGUUCUUCAAUGAGGCUUAACAUUAUAUAAUCUCUCACAUGAGAGAAUUUAAGUGCGAAUAGCACUCUGAUUUUUGAAAAACCACAUUAUAACAAUACUAGGUCCUGAAAAUAGUAAAUCAGAAAUGUGCUGGUUUGCUGGAUUCAGCAGAACAAUGAUUUUUUUUUUGUCUUCUUUUAAAAAUGAUUUUUUUUUUAAUUUUUUCCAUCAUACCUGGCUUACUGUGCUCUCUCAAUUUUCUAGUAGAGCAAGAUGACCCAGUAACACAUACAUAUAUACAUUCUUUUUUCUCACAUUAUCAUGUUCCAUCAUAAGUGACUAGAUAUAGUCCCCAGUGCUAUAUAGCAGGAUCUCAUUGCUUAUCCAUUCCAAAGGCAAUAGUUUGCAUCUAUUAACCCCAUAUUCCUAGUCCAUUCCACUUGCUCCCAUGCCCCUUGGCAACCACAAGUCUCUUCUUCAAGUCCAUGAUUUUCUUUUCUAUGGAAAGGUUCAUUUGUGCCAUAUAUAAGAAUGCAGAUAUAAGUGAUGUCAUGUUAUUUAUCUUUCUCUUUCUGACUUACUUCACUCAGUAUGAGUCUCUACUUCUAGCCAUGUUGCUGCGAAUGGCAUUAUUUUAUUCUUUUUAUAGUUGAGUAGUAUUCCAUUGUGUAUAUAAACCAUAUCUUCUUAAUCCAUUCAUCUGUUGAUGGACAUUUAAAUUGUUUCCAUGUCUUGGCUAUGGUGAAUAGUGCUGCAAUGAACAUAUAGGUGCAUUUGUAAAGAUUUGUCUAGGUAUAUGCCCAAGAGUGGGAUUGUGGGGUCAUACGGUAGUUCUAUGUAUAGUUUUCUAAGGUACCUCCAUACUGUGUUCCAUAAUGGUUGUACCAAUUUACAUUCCCACCAACUUUGUAGGAGGGUUUCCUUUUCUCCACACCCUCUCCAACAUUUGUUAUUUGUGGACUUGUUAAUAAGGGCCAAGCUGUCUGGUGUGAGGUGGUAUUUCAUAGCAGUUUUGAUUUGCAUUUCUCUAAAAUCAGGGAUGUUGAGCAUUUCUUCAUGUACUUGUUGGCCAUCUGCAUAUCUUCUUUGGAGAAAUGUCUAUACAGGUCUUUUGCCCAUUUCUCAGUUGGAUCGUUGGCUUUUUUGCUGUUGAGUUGUGUAAAUUGGUUUUAUAUUUUAGAGAUUAAGCCCUUGUCCAUUGCAUCAUUUGAAACUAUUUUCUCCCAUUCUGUAAGUUGUCUUUUUGUUUUCUUUUUGGUUUCCUUUGCUGUGCAAAAGCUUUUUUGUCUGAUUAGGUCCCAUUGGUUUAUUUUUGCUUUUAUUUCUGUUGCCUUCAAAGACUGACCUUAGAAAACAUUUGUAAGGUCGAUGUCAGAGAAUGUUUUGCCUAUGUUCACUUCCAGGAGUUUGAUGGUGUCUUGUCUUACAUUUAAGUCUUUAAGCCACUUGGGGUUUAUUUUUGUGCAUGGUGUGAGGGUGUGUUCCAGUUUCAUCGAUUUGCAUGUGCCUGUCCAGUUUUCCCAGCACCACAUGCUGAAAAGAUUUUCUUUCUCCCAUUUUAUGUUCUUGCCUCCUUUGUCAAAGAUUAAUUAACCAUAGGUUUCUGGGUUUAUUUCUGGGUUCUCUAUUCUGUUCCAUUGGACUGUCUGUUUUGGUAUAAGAACCACACUGUCUUGAUGAUCGUGGCUUUGUAAUAUUGCCUGAAGUCAGGGAGAGUUAGGCCUCCUGCUUGGUUUUUGUUCCUCAGAAUUGCUUUGGCAGUCUGGGUCUUUUGAAGUUCCAUAUCAAUUUUUGGAUUGUUUGUUCUAGUUCUGUGAAAAAUGUCAUGGGCAAUUUGAUAGGGAUUGCACUGAAUCUGUAGAUUGCUUUGGGUAGUAUGGCCAUUUUCACAAUAUUAAUUUUUUCAACCCAAGAGCAUGGAAUAUCUUUCCAUUUCUUUGCAUCUUCUUUAAUUUCCUUCAUUAAUGUUUUACAGUUCUCAGCACAAAUUCUUUCACCUCCUUUGUCAGGUUUAUUCCCCAGGUCUUUAAUUUUUUUGUGUGUGUGCAAUUUUAAAAGGUAUUGUAUUUUUGUAUUCCUUUUCUAAUAUUUCAUUGUUAGUAUACAGAAAUGUGACUGAUUUCUGAAUGUUAAUCUUAUAUCCUGCUACUUUGCUGAAUUUGGUGAUCAGUUCAAGUACUUUUUGGGUUGAAUCCUUAGGGUUUUCUACAUAUGGUAACAUGUCCUCUGCAUAGAGUGACAGUUUUACCUCUUUUUUUCCAAUUUUGAUACUUUUGUGUGUGUGUGUGUGUGUGUCUGAUUACUGUGGCUAGGACUUCCAAUACUAUGUUGAAUAACAGUGGUGAGAGUGGGCAUUAUUGUCUUGUUCCAGAUUUUAGUGGGAAGGCCUUUAGCUUUUCUCCAUUGAGUAUUAUAUUUGCUGUGGGUUUGUCAUAAAUGACUUUGAUUAUGCUAAGGUAUGUUCCCUCUAUAUGCACUUUGGUAAGAGUUUUUAAUUAGGAAUGGAUGUUGGACUUUGUCAAAUGCUUUUUCUGCAUCUAUUGAGAUGAUCAUAUGGUUUUUGACUUUUGUUAAUGUGGUAUGUGAUGUUAAAUGAUUUGCGUAUGUUGAACGAUUCUUGUGAACCUGGGAUGAAUCCCACUUGGUUGUGGUGUUUGAUCUUUGUUUUUUUUCAUUUUUUAAAAUUUUUUCAUUAUAGCUGUUUUACAGUGUUCUGCCAAUUUUCUACUGUACAAUGUGUUGACCUUAUUACACAUACAUAUAUAGACUCAUCAGAAGUGAUUGGACAUAGUUCCCAAUGCUACACAGCAGGAUCUCAUUGCCCAUCCAUUACAAAGGCAACAGUCUGCAUCUAUUAACCCCAGAGUCCCAGUCCAUCCCAAUCUCUCCUCUUCCCACUUGGCAACCACAAGUCUCUUCUCCAAAUCCAUGAGUUUCUUUUCU